AAGAGAUAUAAAUUAAUUGUACACAGGAGUCUGCUGCCUACAAAGCUGCUAUAAAGCUUUGGUGAUGAAUAGCUGACUUCGAAUGUCCUGCUACACACCUUUCCCAAACAAUUGAUAUGCAGCAGGUGAAUGCGAAAAGCUUAUCAGUCCAACCCGGUGUUAUUUCCUGUCAUAACUUUGCACAACAAAGGAAGUUUCUGUCCUUGUUGAACUUUGGUGUUGCGAUAUGUAUUGCAGUUCCUUUGGAGAAACCACUUUAAUCCUUGGGAAGCCAAAAUCACAGAGACGGAGGCAGGAAUAUUGCUGCUACUAACUGCAAUUUUAUCAGCAUCCAGCUGUAUCAAAGAGCUCAGGUGCGACAUGGGAGGGAGCUGCAGGUGAUGGAGGGAUGCUUGCCCCAACUUCUACUUGAGCAGAAUAAAAAGAAAGCUCAGGCCACAUUUCCAGCACUACAUUUCAGUAUGCCAGUGCUAUAAAACAGGAAACAAAAAGGAAGAAUUGCAUUUACAUUUAAACUUAAUUUGAUUAUAGCCACUUUUAGCAUAUUGUAGGGACAGAUCUUGUGAAUGGUGCUGAGAUUUUUUAGGGUGGUUUUUUUUUUUUUUUUUUUUUUUUUUUUUUUUGAGGAGGGAAGAAUGAUGCCUUGGCAUGAUGCCAUCAGCCAUUUGCUGUCUUUGGAAAUUGCUGUGGCUUCGCAGGGUGGGUAGUUGCCCCCACGCAUGUUUGUCAUUGACACAGCAGGGAGGAAUGAAGUCAACCAUCUUAAGAGUCCUUGAGCUCUGCUACUUUGGCAUGAGUGUCCAAUGCAGAAAGAGACUUGGACUUCAUGUGCUUUCAUGUCAAUGGACAUGCUCUUCCUGACCUUGCAUCAGGCCCAGCACCGCCAUCCAGUGGUAGAAGAGUUUGAAUAUGCCACAUCCACACUGAAGACAACAGAGAACUGUUUGUCCAAGAGAAGGUUUGGAGCAUCUAGCCAUGAGACAAGGAAUCUUCUGGCUGGAGCUUUUCACAAUCCAUGGGAUUAUUUUUUAUAUAAAAGGUACAGUACAAAUCACACCUCAGCAUCAGUACUUCUUCCAUCUGCCUCUGGCAGAUUGGUGAUGGCUUAG
This 1109-nucleotide long non-coding RNA is filed under the name Numida meleagris (helmeted guineafowl). RNAcentral's name for it is "lncRNA (ENSNMEG00000008598.1)". Lineage: Eukaryota; Metazoa; Chordata; Aves; Galliformes; Numididae. The record is from RNAcentral.